RNAcentral lists this ribosomal RNA (253 nucleotides) under uncultured bacterium. RNAcentral describes it as "partial 16S ribosomal RNA". It matches the Rfam family "Bacterial small subunit ribosomal RNA", at positions 524 to 776 of the family's 1533-position model. The record is from RNAcentral.
UACGUAGGGUGCAAGCGUUGUCCGGAAUUAUUGGGCGUAAAGAGCUCGUAGGCGGUUCGUUGCGUCGGCUGUGAAAACCUGAGGCUCAACCUCAGGCCUGCAGUCGAUACGGGCGGACUUGAGUACUGCAGGGGAGACUGGAAUUCCUGGUGUAGCGGUGAAAUGCGCAGAUAUCAGGAGGAACACCGGUGGCGAAGGCGGGUCUCUGGGCAGUAACUGACGCUGAGGAGCGAAAGCGUGGGGAGCGAACAGG